GACGAACGCUGGCGGCGUGCCUAAUACAUGCAAGUCGAACGCACGAAGUUGAAGAGCUUGCUCUUUAACCAAGUGAGUGGCGGACGGGUGAGUAACACGUGGGUAACCUGCCCAUUAGAGGGGGAUAACAUUCGGAAACGGAUGCUAAUACCGCAUAGUUUCAGGAAUCGCAUGAUUCUUGAAGGAAAGGUGGCUUCGGCUACCACUAAUGGAUGGACCCGCGGCGUAUUAGCUAGUUGGUGAGGUAAUGGCUCACCAAGGCAAUGAUACGUAGCCGACCUGAGAGGGUGAUCGGCCACACUGGGACUGAGACACGGCCCAGACUCCUACGGGAGGCAGCAGUAGGGAAUCUUCCGCAAUGGACGAAAGUCUGACGGAGCAACGCCGCGUGAGUGAAGAAGGUUUUCGGAUCGUAAAACUCCGUUGUUAAAGAAGAACAAGGAUGAGAGUAACUGCUCAUCCCCUGACGGUAUUUAACCAGAAAGCCACGGCUAACUACGUGCCAGCAGCCGCGGUAAUACGUAGGUGGCAAGCGUUGUCCGGAUUUAUUGGGCGUAAAGCGAGCGCAGGCGGUUCUUUAAGUCUGAUGUGAAAGCCCCCGGCUCAACCGGGGAGGGUCAUUGGAAACUGGAGAACUUGAGUGCAGAAGAGGAGAGUGGAAUUCCACGUGUAGCGGUGAAAUGCGUAGAUAUGUGGAGGAACACCAGUGGCGAAGGCGACUCUCUGGUCUGUAACUGACGCUGAGGCUCGAAAGCGUGGGGAGCAAACAGG
Molecule: ribosomal RNA, 771 nt
Filed under: uncultured Vagococcus sp.
Lineage: Bacteria; Bacillati; Bacillota; Bacilli; Lactobacillales; Enterococcaceae
Description: bacterial SSU rRNA
Rfam family: Bacterial small subunit ribosomal RNA
Source: RNAcentral